UCGACAAGUACACCGGGUUGAGUUAAGGGCAGUCCCGGAAGAGCAGCAGCGGGGACAAGAGGAGGUAACUCCGAUAGUUCCUGAGCCCGACUCGUCUGAGUCACUAUCCUCUGACGGGGAUUCAUCAGCCGGCUUAAUAAUUCUGCGCAUGGGAGAGGAGCCCCAAGAAGCUCUUGAACCAUCAAUGUCUCCUAUUCCGGAUGAAGUAGAAGCACUACCGGUCCCGGACCUCCCACGACGCUCAGCUAGGUCUACAGCAGGCCAGCAUGCUAACCUUCAUCGACUCCCAAGGACAGUUGUGCUAAGGAGUGAUGGAGGGUCCUUGGAAUAGGACCAUUAUUUUGGCAGGGCUGCAGGCUGUCAUCGUCGGGGCGCCGAUUCAUUUGGGGGGGGUGGAUUGUAGCCCUGGCAUGUUCGGCACUCCUGUGUGUGUGUGCGUAACGGAUUAGGGCGGAGACAGGCAAUCACGGGGGCAGCUGGGGUCCUGUGGUUCAGGUAUUUAGGUAGACAGCCCGGGGUCCUUAGGGCAGGGCAGUGUGGCUAGGCUAACAGCAGAGCGAGUGACAGCGUUUGGACGAGGAGCUGUUUGUGUCAGGCAUGCACAUUGUAAAGGUACGUGGUGUUUGUGUGUAGACACUCGACUAUAAGUACAAUACUACUAGUUAGUGUUUAAGGUGUCUUUAUGCUUGCAAAGUGUGGGACCAGCAUGGAGGAGACGCCGUGACUCCCUGUAGCGUGUUCAUUGUUGGAAAGCAGAGCUGAGGUGGUGUGCGGUGCCGUGACCGUGUUUACUGUGCAGUCCAGGGCAUAUUGGGACCACAUGAAGCUGAGCUAGCCUCCGAUCGACACUGGUCAUUUUAUAACGCAGAUCAUACGGCACUUGGGUUGCCAGCUGCUUUUUCUUGGUUUCCUACGUGUGUUCUUUGUUUUAGUACUGUUUGUUUUUAUAUUUUUAUUUCUUUUGUCUCCGUGGUUUUGUGAUUUGUACUCCUGUUUUAUAUGCUCAAAGGUGGUCGAAGUAUGUACUGGGCUAACCGUGUGGAGUUGGGAUAUUGCUAAUUUGGGUAUCCACUAGUGUGAUUUUUGCAGUGCAAUGUAGAGUGAGUGCUAUGUGCAAUAUAGUGUGUCACUGGUUUUAAAAAUUCUUCACGUGUGGUAAGGAUAUCUUAUAUGGGACUCCCAACUCCAGCACUUUGCCCAGCAAGGUAGUGGUUUUUACUUUCUUUUAUGGAUCAAGCUGAUACGAAUACUGACAACUUCUGGGACAAUUAAUAAACUGUUUGACUUGUAUUAUUCUAA
Pygocentrus nattereri (red-bellied piranha) is the source of this 1299-nucleotide long non-coding RNA. RefSeq lists it as uncharacterized. NCBI's taxonomy places the organism in Eukaryota, Metazoa, Chordata, Actinopteri, Characiformes, Serrasalmidae. The transcript has 2 exons. The record is from RefSeq and is a predicted model, not a curated record.